GUGGGGAAUUUUGGACAAUGGGCGCAAGCCUGAUCCAGCAAUGUCGCGUGCAGGAAGAAGGCCUUCGGGUUGUAAACUGCUUUUGUACGGAACGAAAAGGCUCUGGUUAAUACCUGGGGCUCAUGACGGUACCGUAAGAAUAAGCACCGGCUAACUACGUGCCAGCAGCCGCGGUAAUACGUAGGGUGCAAGCGUUAAUCGGAAUUACUGGGCGUAAAGCGUGCGCAGGCGGUUUUGUAAGACAGACGUGAAAUCCCCGGGCUCAACCUGGGAAUGGCGUUUGUGACUGCAAAGCUGGAGUGCGGCAGAGGGGGAUGGAAUUCCGCGUGUAGCAGUGAAAUGCGUAGAUAUGCGGAGGAACACCGAUGGCGAAGGCAAUCCCCUGGGCCUGCACUGACGCUCAUGCACGAAAGCGUGGGGAGCAAACAGGAUUAGAUACCCCUGUAGUCC
RNAcentral lists this ribosomal RNA (450 nucleotides) under uncultured bacterium. RNAcentral describes it as "partial 16S ribosomal RNA". It matches the Rfam family "Bacterial small subunit ribosomal RNA", at positions 354 to 796 of the family's 1533-position model. The record is from RNAcentral.